This 465-nucleotide ribosomal RNA is filed under the name uncultured bacterium. RNAcentral's name for it is "partial 16S ribosomal RNA". It matches the Rfam family "Bacterial small subunit ribosomal RNA", at positions 28 to 507 of the family's 1533-position model. The record is from RNAcentral.
GAUGAACGCUGGCGGCGUGCUUAACACAUGCAAGUCGAACGGAAAGGCUCCUGCUUGCAGGGGUACUCGAGUGGCGAACGGGUGAGUAACACGUGGGUGAUCUGCCCUGCACUUCGGGAUAAGCCUGGGAAACUGGGUCUAAUACCGGAUAGGACCACAUUUUGGAUGGUGUGGUGGAAAGUUUUUCGGUGUGGGAUGAGCUCGCGGCCUAUCAGCUUGUUGGUGGGGUAAUGGCCUACCAAGGCGUCGACGGGUAGCCGGCCUGAGAGGGUGUACGGCCACAUUGGGACUGAGAUACGGCCCAGACUCCUACGGGAGGCAGCAGUGGGGAAUAUUGCACAACGGGCGCAAGCCUGAUGCAGCGACGCCGCGUGGGGGAUGACGGCCUUCGGGUUGUAAACUCCUUUCGCUAGGGACGAAGCGCAAGUGACGGUACCUGGAGAAGAAGCACCGGCUAACUACGUG